CGUGUAGGGGGUGUGACCUGGUAAAUCCGGUUGCAUAUCAACCCUGAGGCGUGAUGACGAUGCACUACGGUGCAGAAGUAGUUGAUGCCCUGCUUCCAGGAAAAGCCUCUAAGCUCUAGGUAACAUUAAAUCGUACCCCAAACCGACACAGGUGGUCAGGUAGAGAAUACCAAGGCGCUUGAGAGAACUCGGGUGACGGAACUAGGCAAAAUGGUGCCGUAACUUCGGGAGAAGGCACGCUGGC
This is a ribosomal RNA of 244 nucleotides. It matches the Rfam family "Bacterial large subunit ribosomal RNA", at positions 1517 to 1755 of the family's 2925-position model.